Molecule: ribosomal RNA, 497 nt
Filed under: uncultured bacterium
Lineage: Bacteria
Description: partial 16S ribosomal RNA
Rfam family: Bacterial small subunit ribosomal RNA
Source: RNAcentral
GAUGAACGCUGGCGGCGUGCCUAAUACAUGCGAGUCGAGCGAACGGACGAGAAGCUUGCUUUUCUGAUGUUAGCGGCGGACGGGUGAGUAACACGUGGAUAACCUACCUAUAAGACUGGGAUAACUUCGGGAAACCGGAGCUAAUACCGGAUAAUAUUUUGAACCGCAUGGUUCAAAAGUGAAAGACGGUCUUGCUGUCACUUAUAGAUGGAUCCGCGCUGCAUUAGCUAGUUGGUAAGGUAACGGCUUACCAAGGCAACGAUGCAUAGCCGACCUGAGAGGGUGAUCGGCCACACUGGAACUGAGACACGGUCCAGACUCCUACGGGAGGCAACAGUAGGGAAUCUUCCGCAAUGGGCGAAAGCCUGACGGAGCAACGCCGCGUGAGUGAUGAAGGUCUUCGGAUCGUAAAACUCUGUUAUUAGGGAAGAACAUAUGUGUAAGUAACUGUGCACAUCUUGACGGUACCUAAUCAGAAAGCCACGGCUAACUACGUG